GGGGCUAUAGCUCAAUUGGUAGAGCGCCGCUUUUGCAAGGCGGAGGUCAGGGGUUCGAUUCCCCUUAGCUCCA
Molecule: transfer RNA, 73 nt
Filed under: Saccharomonospora sp. CUA-673
Lineage: Bacteria; Bacillati; Actinomycetota; Actinomycetes; Pseudonocardiales; Pseudonocardiaceae
Rfam family: tRNA
About the family: Transfer RNA (tRNA) molecules are approximately 80 nucleotides in length. Their secondary structure includes four short double-helical elements and three loops (D, anti-codon, and T loops).
Source: Rfam by way of RNAcentral